AUUGAACGCUGGCGGCAGGCUUAACACAUGCAAGUCGAGCGGAGAGAGGUAGCUUGCUACUGAUCUUAGCGGCGGACGGGUGAGUAAUGCUUAGGAAUCUGCCUAUUAGUGGGGGACAACAUUUCGAAAGGAAUGCUAAUACCGCAUACGUCCUACGGGAGAAAGCAGGGGAUCUUCGGACCUUGCGCUAAUAGAUGAGCCUAAGUCGGAUUAGCUAGUUGGUGGGGUAAAGGCCUACCAAGGCGACGAUCUGUAGCGGGUCUGAGAGGAUGAUCCGCCACACUGGGACUGAGACACGGCCCAGACUCCUACGGGAGGCAGCAGUGGGGAAUAUUGGACAAUGGGCGGAAGCCUGAUCCAGCCAUGCCGCGUGUGUGAAGAAGGCCUUGUGGUUGUAAAGCACUUUAAGCGAGGAGGAGGCUACUUUAGUUAAUACCUAGAGAUAGUGGACGUUACUCGCAGAAUAAGCACCGGCUAACUCUGUGCCAGCAGCCGCCGUAC
RNAcentral lists this ribosomal RNA (501 nucleotides) under uncultured bacterium. RNAcentral describes it as "partial 16S ribosomal RNA". It matches the Rfam family "Bacterial small subunit ribosomal RNA", at positions 30 to 523 of the family's 1533-position model. The record is from RNAcentral.